This 497-nucleotide ribosomal RNA is filed under the name uncultured bacterium. RNAcentral describes it as "partial 16S ribosomal RNA". It matches the Rfam family "Bacterial small subunit ribosomal RNA", at positions 28 to 507 of the family's 1533-position model. The record is from RNAcentral.
GAUGAACGCUGGCGGCGUGCCUAAUACAUGCAAGUCGAGCGAACAGACGAUGAGCUUGCUCCUCUGACGUUAGCGGCGGACGGGUGAGUCACACGUGGAUAAUCUACCUAUAAGUCUGGGAUAACUUCGGGAAACCGGAGCUAAUACCGGAUAAUCUAUUGAACCGCAUGGUUCAAUGGUGAAAGACGGUUUUGCGGUCACUUAUAGAUGGAUCCGCGCCGCAUGAGCUAGUUGGUAAGGUAACGGCUUACCAAGGCAACGAUGCGUAGCCGACCGGAGAGGGUGGUCGGCCACACUGGAAGUUAGACACGGUCCAGACUCCUACGGGAGGCAGCAGUAGGGAAUCGUCCGCAAUGGGCGAAAGCCUGACGGAGCAACGCCGCGUGAGUGAUGAAGGUCUUCGGAUCGGAAAACUCUGUUAUUAGGGAAGAACAAAUGUGUAAGUAACUAUGCACGUAUUGACGGUACCUAAUCAGAAAGCCACGGCUAACUACGUG